AACGAACGCUGGCGGCAGGUCUAACACAUGCAAGUCGAACGCCCCGCCAGGGGAGUGGCAGACGGGUGAGUAACACGUGGGAACCUUCCCUAUAGUACGGAAUAGCCCAGGGAAACUUGGAGUAAUACCGUAUACGCCCGAAAGGGGAAAGAAUUUCGCUAUAGGAUGGGCCCGCGUAGGAUUAGCUAGUUGGUGAGGUAAUGGCUCACCAAGGCGACGAUCCUUAGCUGGUUUGAGAGAACGACCAGCCACACUGGGACUGAGACACGGCCCAGACUCCUACGGGAGGCAGCAGUGGGGAAUAUUGGACAAUGGGCGCAAGCCUGAUCCAGCCAUGCCGCGUGAGUGAUGAAGGCCUUAGGGUUGUAAAGCUCUUUUGGCGGGGACGAUAAUGACGGUACCCGCAGAAUAAGUCCCGGCUAACUUCGUG
This 430-nucleotide ribosomal RNA is filed under the name uncultured bacterium. RNAcentral's name for it is "partial 16S ribosomal RNA". It matches the Rfam family "Bacterial small subunit ribosomal RNA", at positions 29 to 507 of the family's 1533-position model. The record is from RNAcentral.